UACGUAGGGGGCAAGCGUUGUCCGGAAUCAUUGGGCGUAAAGCGCGUGUAGGCGGUUCAGUAAGUCCGCUGUGAAAGUCCAGGGCUCAACCCUGGGAUGCCGGUGGAUACUGCUGGACUAGAGUGCGGAAGAGGCGAGUGGAAUUCCCGGUGUAGCGGUGAAAUGCGCAGAUAUCGGGAGGAACACCAAUUGCGAAGGCAGCUCGCUGGGACGUUACUGACGCUGAGACGCGAAAGCGUGGGGAGCAAACAGG
Molecule: ribosomal RNA, 253 nt
Filed under: uncultured bacterium
Lineage: Bacteria
Description: partial 16S ribosomal RNA
Rfam family: Bacterial small subunit ribosomal RNA
Source: RNAcentral